This 1096-nucleotide ribosomal RNA is filed under the name uncultured bacterium. RNAcentral describes it as "bacterial SSU rRNA". The stretch from base 113 to 1096 matches the Rfam family "Bacterial small subunit ribosomal RNA". The record is from RNAcentral.
CGCUCCUCUUGUUAACGCGAAGGGUUUCAGGUUAUUGUACAGUUUACAGCGGGAAGCGCCCGAAUUAUGGCCCUAAGGAAAUGGCUCUAGAGCAUUCAAGCGCAAUGGAGGUAUCGCAAUCGCCUCGAUCCUAGGUGCAGGCAGACGCCGGUAACGGAGGUCAGGCUUAUCGGAAUUCUGGCUAAGCGCGCGUAGGUGUUUUAGUGGAUUGAAAGCCUGGCUCACUAGACUGCAUCCAAACUAGAUGCUAGAGUACGUAAGAGGAGUAGAUUCACAGGUAGCGGUGGAAUGCGUAGAUAUGGGAAGAAUCCAAUGGCGAAGGCAGCUUCCUGGUUCUGUACUGACCCGAGGUGCGAAAGCGUGGGUAGCGAACAGGAUUAGAUACCCUGGUAGUCACGCCGUAAACGAUGACAACUAGCUGUUGGGAGACAAGAUCUCUCAGUGGCGCAGCUAACGCUUUAAGUUGUCCGCCUGGGGAGUACGACCGCAAGAUUAAAACUCAAAUGAAUUGACGGGGACCCGCACAAGCGGUGGAGCAUGUGGUGUAAUUCGAUGCAGCGCGAAGAACCUUACCAGGGUUUGACAUCCUGCGAAUCUCUUGGAAACGAGAGAGUGCCUUUGGGAACGCAGUGACAGGUGGUGCAUGGCUGUCGUCAGCUCGUGUCGUGAGAUGUUGGGUUAAGUCCCGCAACGAGCGCAACCCACGUCUUUAGUUGCCAGCAUUUAGUUGGGCACUCUAGAGAGACCGCCGGUGAUAAACCGGAGGAAGGUGUGGAUGACGUCAAGUCAUCAUGCCCCUUACAUCCUGGGCUACACACGUACUACAAUGCUACGGACAAAGGGCAGCAAGUUCGCGAGGACAAGCAAAUCCCAUAAACCGUGGCUCAGUUCAGAUCGUAGGCUGCAACUCGCCUACGUGAAGGAGGAAUCGCUAGUAAUCGCAAGUCAGCAUACUGCGGUGAAUACGUUCCCGGGCCUUGUACACACCGCCCGUCACACCAUGGAAGUUGGCCACGCCCGAAGCCGUUACUCCAACCCUCGGGAGGAGGACGUCGAAGGUGGGGCUGAUGACUGGGGUGAAGUCGUAACAAGGUAA